AACACGGAGCUUGCUCUGUGGGAUCAGUGGCGAACGGGUGAGUAACACGUGAGCAACCUGCCCCUGACUCUGGGAUAAGCGCUGGAAACGGCGUCUAAUACUGGAUAUGUGACGUGACCGCAUGGUCUGCGUUUGGAAAGAUUUUUCGGUUGGGGAUGGGCUCGCGGCCUAUCAGCUUGUUGGUGAGGUAAUGGCUCACCAAGGCGUCGACGGGUAGCCGGCCUGAGAGGGUGACCGGCCACACUGGGACUGAGACACGGCCCAGACUCCUACGGGAGGCAGCAGUGGGGAAUAUUGCACAAUGGGCGGAAGCCUGAUGCAGCAACGCCGCGUGAGGGAUGACGGCCUUCGGGUUGUAAACCUCUUUUAGCAGGGAAGAAGCGAAAGUGACGGUACCUGCAGAGAAAGCGCCGGCUAACUACGUGCCAGCAGCCGCGGUAAU
This 442-nucleotide ribosomal RNA is filed under the name uncultured bacterium. Its description in RNAcentral is "bacterial SSU rRNA". It matches the Rfam family "Bacterial small subunit ribosomal RNA", at positions 70 to 524 of the family's 1533-position model. The record is from RNAcentral.